Molecule: ribosomal RNA, 486 nt
Filed under: uncultured bacterium
Lineage: Bacteria
Description: partial 16S ribosomal RNA
Rfam family: Bacterial small subunit ribosomal RNA
Source: RNAcentral
AUUGAACGCUGGCGGCAUGCCUUACACAUGCAAGUCGAACGGCAGCACGGGUGCUUGCACCUGGUGGCGAGUGGCGAACGGGUGAGUAAUACAUUGGAACAUGUCCUGUAGUGGGGGAUAGCCCGGCGAAAGCCGGAUUAAUACCGCAUACGAUCUACGGAUGAAAGCGGGGGACCUUCGGGCCUCGCGCUAUAGGGUUGGCCGAUAGCUGAUUAGCUAGUUGGUGGGGUAAAGGCCUACCAAGGCGACGAUCAGUAGCUGGUCUGAGAGGACGACCAGCCACACUGGGACUGAGACACGGCCCAGACUCCUACGGGAGGCAGCAGUGGGGAAUUUUGGACAAUGGGCGAAAGCCUGAUCCAGCAAUGCCGCGUGUGUGAAGAAGGCCUUCGGGUUGUAAAGCACUUUUGUCCGGAAAGAAAUCCUUGGCUCUAAUACAGUCGGGGGAUGACGGUACCGGAAGAAUAAGCACCGGCUAACUACGUG